RNAcentral lists this ribosomal RNA (513 nucleotides) under Triticum aestivum (bread wheat). Its description in RNAcentral is "partial small subunit ribosomal RNA". Lineage: Eukaryota; Viridiplantae; Streptophyta; Magnoliopsida; Poales; Poaceae. The record is from RNAcentral.
AUGCCUUUUGAGGUGGUCUAUGGCCGCCUGCCCCCGCCCAUCGUACCGGUUGACCCCGAGACGGCGAGGACGGAGGCGACGGGCGACCUUCUUCGCAGCAAGGACGAGAUCCUUGCGGAGGUGCGCCAACGACUUCUCCAGGCCCAGCAGCUGUCCAAGAAAUACUACGACGGCUACCACCGCGAGGCGGAGUUUGCGGUGGGCGACUGGUUGUGGCUGCGCCUCCUUCACCGCUCCACGCAGUCACUCGACCCGCACGCGAAGCGCAAGCUGGGCUCUCGCUACGCCGGGCCAUUUUCCGUGCUGGAACGCAUCGGAAAGGUUGCCUACCGCCUUCAACUCCCGGUCGGUGCCCGCAUCCAUGACGUCUUCCAUGUGGGGUUGCUGAAGCCCUUCCGCGGGGAACCGCCGGCGACCACGCCGGUGCUUCCUCCAACCUCCGACGGGCGCCUUCUACCAGGACCGGCGAAGGUGUUGCAGUCCAGCAGCAUCGCGGGGUGUGGCAUUUGUUGA